GGUAAGACUGAUGAGCGAUAUUUUCCUUUGGCUAGUCUUGGGAAAACGUCGUCGUCGCCCAUGAGUGCAUAUUGUUUACUUAAAGUAAUUCAAUAUUGUUUUUCAGAAAUAAUUUGUGAUGACAUCCAGCAAAACGAGUCUAUGUAAUGAAUUAAUUAAUAACGUGUAUUCGCGAGCAUUAUCAGUAGUUUAUCACCUAUUAUAGUCGGCCAGACGAGACGUGCCGCUUGUUUUCCGAUUCCGAGGUUUAUUGCGGGCCGAGGUUGUCGUGCAAGUUUUCUAGGUGUUUCCCGUUCAUAGCGACUGAAAUUACUAAGAGUGCAUUCAUUCACAGUGAAGUAUGAAUCCGGUGCGGGGCGAAAAACUAUGUGUUUUGAUUAAAGAUGUCAAAAAUGUUAUCAUAGCCACAAUGGCUCAUUGCUCAACCACAGAAUCCGCAUAAAAACUGUGUAAAUUCAUACCUAACACCUAUAUGUUAUAGGUAUAACGUAUAAGUCCUGGAUGACUAUGCUAGUACUGUAUGUGGUUUUAACUUAAUUACUUAAAAUGAAUCAUAUAUUGUAUACAUAACUAUAUAUACACAUUUAAAUACUCAAUAUACUGUGCUCUCUGUGUCGGCGCGGGACGGUUAUCGUUCUCUCUUUAAUGACAACUCUGCGAAUCAUUUUGAUUUACUCGUUACUUCGAAAUUGUAUUUAAAAAAGUUAAUUAAUAUAUUCAUAUAGUUUUUAAAAGCAUUGUAUAAUAAUAAUUAAUAAUUGUUAUACAAUUUUUAUUUUUUAUUUGAUUAAGUUGAUCGUAAAAAUAA
This is a long non-coding RNA of Rhopalosiphum padi (bird cherry-oat aphid), 808 nucleotides long. RefSeq lists it as uncharacterized. The transcript has 2 exons. The record is from RefSeq and is a predicted model, not a curated record. Lineage: Eukaryota; Metazoa; Arthropoda; Insecta; Hemiptera; Aphididae.